This 253-nucleotide ribosomal RNA is filed under the name uncultured bacterium. Its description in RNAcentral is "partial 16S ribosomal RNA". It matches the Rfam family "Bacterial small subunit ribosomal RNA", at positions 524 to 776 of the family's 1533-position model. The record is from RNAcentral.
UACGUAGGGUGCGAGCGUUAAUCGGAAUUACUGGGCGUAAAGCGUGCGUAGGUGGCAUUAUAAGUUGGUAGUGAAAGCGUAGGGCUCAACCCUAUAUCCAUUACCAAAACUGUGAAGCUAGAGAAUGAGAGAGGUCGCUGGAAUUCCCUGUGUAGGAGUGAAAUCCGUAGAUAUAGGGAGGAACACCGAUGGCGUAGGCAGGCGACUGGCUCAUUUCUGACACUAAGGCACGAAAGCGUGGGGAGCAAACGGG